RNAcentral lists this transfer RNA (64 nucleotides) under Rhinotermes marginalis. RNAcentral's name for it is "tRNA-Thr". It matches the Rfam family "tRNA". From Rfam's summary of the family: Transfer RNA (tRNA) molecules are approximately 80 nucleotides in length. Their secondary structure includes four short double-helical elements and three loops (D, anti-codon, and T loops). Further hydrogen bonds mediate the characteristic L-shaped molecular structure. tRNAs have two regions of fundamental functional importance: the anti-codon, which is responsible for specific mRNA codon recognition, and the 3' end, to which the tRNAs corresponding amino acid is attached (by aminoacyl-tRNA synthetases). tRNAs cope with the degeneracy of the genetic code in two manners: having more than one tRNA (with a specific anti-codon) for a particular amino acid; and 'wobble' base-pairing, i.e. permitting non-standard base-pairing at the 3rd anti-codon position. The record is from RNAcentral. Lineage: Eukaryota; Metazoa; Arthropoda; Insecta; Blattodea; Rhinotermitidae.
GUUUUAAUAAUUUAAAUAAAAUAUUGGUCUUGUAAACCAAAAACAAGGGAAACCUUUUAAAACU